This 1909-nucleotide long non-coding RNA is filed under the name Triticum aestivum (bread wheat). RNAcentral's name for it is "long non-coding RNA (TAES_LNC012623)". Lineage: Eukaryota; Viridiplantae; Streptophyta; Magnoliopsida; Poales; Poaceae. The record is from RNAcentral.
CUAUUUACAUGGCAACGGAAGUCUAUUAAAAUGGCGGCGGAAGUCUUGGCAGCAUAACACUCUGGCUGGGCUCCACAACUCACAGGACUGGCAAGAUUACGGCCUAGCACGACGGAACAAGUGAACGACCUACAAAACUGGCAUGACACACCAGUCAGUACAUUGAAUGUACUUGCAAGACAACCAAAUACAUAGCAUCCAAACAAACAAGUGACAAGGCAAGAACCAAGCGUAAGCAACAACCUAACUCAUAUCAAAAACUAAGCAUGCAUAGUAUCAACCGAAGACAUAAAUCAGACUAACAUCAUGGCAUCCACUAGCAUGGCAACAAAAUGGCAUAGCAACUUUAUGGCCACAGCAAAACAUAGCAUAUCAUCUCAAUCAUAUCAAUCAAAGCAUGGCAUGGUCAUCAUGAAACUAUGCUGAAAAUUUACUACCAAUCAUAUCCAAUGCAGACAUAGCAUUUUAACUGUAUGAAACCAUCUCUAGUUCUACCAUAGUUCUUUAAAUGCAAACAUAUUACUCAUGCAAUGCCACCAAACUUGUGCACUGAGUCCCUCGGACUCUCUUACCAACGGUGAUCACCUCAUUUCCUGAUCACCAACAGAGACAAAUUUGUGAUUCUUACGGCGAUCACAACCCGACCACAUCUGGCCUGUGAUCCUUACGACGAUCACAACCCGACCACAUCUGGCCUAUGAUCCUUACGGUGAUCACAACCCGACCACAUCUGGCCCGUGAUCCUUAACCACAUUAACCAGCUUAAUUAUUUUAGGUUUAUCCUCCAUUUCGAUCAAGACCCGAUAGUGUACCCUACUACGAACUUAUGCCCAUGACCGAGGACACGGCUAUCGAUAGUUUAAAUACACUCUACAGAGGUUAGUACACUGUACCCACACCACGGAACCCAUGGCCUCACACUCCCAUUCGGGUGGACCAACGGCGUUCCGACAAAACCGACCUACUGCCAUGACACUCUCCCGACCACUCCGACUCACUCCCCUCUGGGCUGUCAUGGGUGGCCCCGUGUCUACCACAAGACACAAUGACCACCGUCGUGGCCAAAACAUGAACGAUCCCACACGGGGAUCCGCCGGCUAUAACAACUACGGGCACACAAGGCUUAUGUCCACCUACCUGAUCAGGGUAGCGCAUGCCCAUAACCUUCCCUCGUUGGAGGCACCGACCAGAGGCACGACAAUAGACCGCAUUAAGGCCGUCCCACACCGGCAAAUGUGGUUGCACUGGAAAAAGUUCGAUUUGGCGGCACUAUGAAUUGAUCCCAUCGAUGACGGAGGGGGUUUGUAACUAUUAAGUCAUUUUAAUUCCUUCUCCAUCAUCAUGCACAUGAAUGCAACAAUGAGCAUACCUCAUACAAAUGUUUUAACAAAGCAUCGAGCUUCUCAAGCGAACACUUACAGCAUCAUGACAAUACCAAGUACUAACAUAUCCACGGUGCAUUACCAUCAUCAUAGCAUUUUAUAACUAUGACAUGAAAAUAAAUUAGAGUAGUGACAUGGAAUAAUCAAUAACAACAGUCUAAUUAUCAUGGCAAGAAGUAGCAUGAAAACACAAGCAUGCAUGGUAAGCAUAAUGAAAUAACCGCAACGAAAACAAUAAGAAACAACUGCAACUACACACACACAAGGUGCAAGCAAAGUCAACAUGCAAGUUCGGGGCUCAUGAUAAGAGGUUGGCUUGCCUGGGGGUCGACAAAUACUCCGGGAAGAAGUGAGAAACGACCGCAGAAAAAUUUACCGGAAACAGUUCUCUCUCGGAGGGGGCUGUUUACGGACAAGGGCAAAAUGGUCAUUUUAACAGUGUCAAACCAUAGUGAAAAUGAUGGGAACGGAACGGGCUCGACGAGACGAAGACGUGGGCGUUGGAUUUACCUCAAUCGGAGUUACGA